Long non-coding RNA from Triticum aestivum (bread wheat), 1154 nucleotides. RefSeq lists it as uncharacterized. The transcript is spliced from 5 exons. NCBI's taxonomy places the organism in Eukaryota, Viridiplantae, Streptophyta, Magnoliopsida, Poales, Poaceae. The record is from RefSeq and is a predicted model, not a curated record.
AACAAAUUGGGGAACUGGUAAAGGAAACCUAGAUCCAAGCGGUAAAACAAGACCUUCCUGCUCCUCCUCUCUCACCCGGCGGUGGCUCCCUACCCCUGCCUGCGCAUGCCUCUUCCUCCUUCUGACAGCGGCAGCGGUGAGCAUGAGAGCGGCGGAAGUGGCUGGACACCAUAAGCUGCCCGAGGUGGUCUACGGCGAGGAACGACCGCGCCCGACGCCGUCCUCCAACCCAUACUUCCCAACCCGGUGCAUGCCCAAGGAUUCCAGCGCACCUUGAAGGAAGGACCAAGGCCUGGGACUACUUGUCCUCUUCUUCCUCUAACAUCUCCCUGCCAGCUGCUGCUUAUUAGUAGGGAGGGAGGGAGGGAGGGAGCGAAAAAGAUAGAUGGCGGCGGCGGCUGGACCUGGCUGAGUUGUUUGGGGAGUUGCGCACACGUCGAGCGACGGUGAGCGCAUCCGACGCCGAUACACCGAGAGUCCUCAUCUCCCUAUCUGUGUCCCUCAGUUUUCUAUUGGCCAAAACAAAAGAUUCAAUCUAUUGUUGAAAGACCAACUUGUCCGCAAAAUACCUUGCAAACUGCAGCACGUUGAGCUAGGAGGUCUGUGCGAGUUAGAGGUUAUAUGAGACAAGGGCUUGGUCCUAUUAAAUGGAAGGGCCAUAAUUAUUAGUCCAAGUGAUAUUGAAGUUACAUUUGAGAAUUUUCCCUACUACCUUAGCGAGAAUACGAAGGAUGUCCUCUUAUCAUGUUCAUUCCUACAUUUGGAAAAGAAGGGAUUCAUUGAGUAGUUCUCGGAAGUUUCUUCAAUAAACCAGCGAAUUUAUCAUCUGGUCCAUCAGGAUUGCAACCGGAGGAGCCGGAGAACACGACCCCUGUCCUAUGUGCGACCAUAUCCCCCAUGGCUCCUACAAGGAACAUAUCGGCCACAGUUUUUUAGGGAACUCUUUUGAAAGGCAUGUGUGUACAGAACACAUGUUUCAUCGUCUUCUCUUUUUUUCAUGAGUUGUUGAACAGAUCUUAUGAAGCUUGAUUGAUAGUGUUUCAACUCAGAUGAAGUGUUUUGGAUGAUCAGUUUUGCAGAUCCUGGAGAUCAUUAUACCUUUUGUACAAUGCACUGUUCGGGAGUGUUGCAUGCCUUUGUAUUGUGUUCCUGAA